Molecule: transfer RNA, 64 nt
Filed under: Crotaphopeltis tornieri
Lineage: Eukaryota; Metazoa; Chordata; Lepidosauria; Squamata; Colubridae
Description: tRNA-His
Source: RNAcentral
GUGUUUGUAAUUUAAAAAAAAUAUUAGGCCGUGACCCUAAAAUUAGGAAAUACCCUCAAGCACC